RNAcentral lists this ribosomal RNA (744 nucleotides) under uncultured bacterium. Its description in RNAcentral is "bacterial SSU rRNA". It matches the Rfam family "Bacterial small subunit ribosomal RNA", at positions 8 to 796 of the family's 1533-position model. The record is from RNAcentral.
AGAGUUUGAUCCUGGCUCAGAGCGAACGCUGGCGGCAGGCUUAACACAUGCAAGUCGAGCGGGCGUAGCAAUACGUCAGCGGCAGACGGGUGAGUAACGCGUGGGAACGUACCUUUUGGUUCGGAACAACACAGGGAAACUUGUGCUAAUACCGGAUAAGCCCUUACGGGGAAAGAUUUAUCGCCGAAAGAUCGGCCCGCGUCUGAUUAGCUAGUUGGUGAGGUAAUGGCUCACCAAGGCGACGAUCAGUAGCUGGUCUGAGAGGAUGAUCAGCCACAUUGGGACUGAGACACGGCCCAAACUCCUACGGGAGGCAGCAGUGGGGAAUAUUGGACAAUGGGCGCAAGCCUGAUCCAGCCAUGCCGCGUGAGUGAUGAAGGCCCUAGGGUUGUAAAGCUCUUUUGUGCGGGAAGAUAAUGACGGUACCGCAAGAAUAAGCCCCGGCUAACUUCGUGCCAGCAGCCGCGGUAAUACGAAGGGGGCUAGCGUUGCUCGGAAUCACUGGGCGUAAAGGGUGCGUAGGCGGGUCUUUAAGUCAGGGGUGAAAUCCUGGAGCUCAACUCCAGAACUGCCUUUGAUACUGAAGAUCUUGAGUUCGGGAGAGGUGAGUGGAACUGCGAGUGUAGAGGUGAAAUUCGUAGAUAUUCGCAAGAACACCAGUGGCGAAGGCGGCUCACUGGCCCGAUACUGACGCUGAGGCACGAAAGCGUGGGGAGCAAACAGGAUUAGAUACCCCGGUAGUCC